GUGGACAAAAUUUUAAGACGCGUUAGGGUUAGUAUAGGGAUUUCAUGGAUGAAUUUUUAGAAGGCGUCGAGCAUUGAAUGGCUUCAGAGUACACUACCCCUUCCAUUUACCGGCGAUUGGUUUCCCCUAUCAGUUUCACUUGAAGCCUACUACUUUAAGCCCACUUUUGAGAAGGAAUCCCAAACACGCCCCGGUCAGUUUUCUGAAACCCUAAUUUUUCUAUUUAUGGUGAACGGGAUACUGUAAUGGAUGAAUUGAGGGAAACGGGAGUAGAGGAAGAGUAUCAGAUUCAGUUGGCGUUCAGUGCUAAGGAGGAUUUGAAGGGUAUUCAGAUUGAAGUUGUUAAUUAGAUCAGUUUGGGUUCUGUUCUGGAGAAUAAUCCGGCUAAAUUCGUUGUGUGUUCGUUAUUGGGCUUGUAUAUUGAUUGUGAAACCAUCCGCGAUAGUGCUUCUUCCUAAACGAUUAUGUGAUCCCGAUUUUAUCUUAUUCUUCUUCUUUGAUUCUCCUGAUUGCAACUGCAGCAAGAUGAAAUUUAUGGUAUCAAGUUCGCUAACCAAGGCCUGUAACAAUUCAAUAUUACUUCUACAUCAUCAAGGAUGCGGGAAAGUUGCGGUGUUGCAUCUUGUUCUAUAAGAUUUGUUAAAAGAGUAUCCUCUCAUGAUCUUUUUGGGUUACCUUGCAAUCAAGGAGAAGAUACAAGAAAGAAGAACAGAACUUCAAAAGUAAAAGUAAAGCUGAAGAUCAGAGAGGAAAACCAAGAAGUGAAGAAAAAGUGAAAAACCAUUGCGGGGAAAUCAAAGGGACAGAGAACAAAAGGUAUCUAAAACCUCUUUUAGUCAAAGAUCGUGCAAAAAGAUGACAAAUUCAUCCACACCUUGUAUCCUGAAGAAGGUAUAUAUAUGGUGAAGUUUGAGCCGGGUUGACUUGAAGAAGAACAAGAAUUUGAGGUCCAUAGCAUCUUUUGUUUAUUCAUAUAAUUAAACCAAAAGAUAUGUUCUGAAUUAUUCAUAUAAUUAAAUCAAGGCUUUAAGCCUUUUCUGGGUUAGAGCAAGGGCUAAACAGGUCUCCUUGACCUGGUGUGGCAAGGUUUCAAUCUAUCUAGGGUGGGUUCGUAGCUUUGGAUGCAAUGGGUAUUAUGUUUAUUUUGUUUGUAAGGUGGUGUGUAUUCUGUACAUUUGGUGUAUGCUAGCUCCCAGCUAGCUUUGGUUGAAUAAAACUUUUUCGUUGGCCAAAAAAAAAAAAAAGAACACCGCAGUCAACUCCAUGAGUAUCUAAUU
Molecule: long non-coding RNA, 1277 nt
Filed under: Helianthus annuus (common sunflower)
Lineage: Eukaryota; Viridiplantae; Streptophyta; Magnoliopsida; Asterales; Asteraceae
Description: hypothetical non coding rna
Source: RNAcentral